Long non-coding RNA from Mytilus trossulus (common blue mussel), 475 nucleotides. RefSeq lists it as uncharacterized. The record is from RefSeq and is a predicted model, not a curated record. The transcript has 3 exons. NCBI's taxonomy places the organism in Eukaryota, Metazoa, Mollusca, Bivalvia, Mytilida, Mytilidae.
CGAUAAACUGGUUCCCGCACCUUCAAACAAACGAGAGCGAAGCGACGUAACUCCAGGGUAACAGUAUUCAUUUACAACCUUUCAAGGACACUUUUCGUAACACCAUGGCUUCGAAGAUUCCUCGUCUCUUUAGUUUGGUUGUAAAACGCCAGUUCUCCACAACUUUGGCUAAGAGAGGAGACCAUGUAGAAUUGCCAGUUCAGUCCCUUAUUGGUAUGGCCAGAUUCAACGCAGGAAAAAGAUGGCAAAGAAAUUGGUUCACCUUCUGGUAUGUUUUAUUCUGGAUCUCUGCCUGUGAUUUACCUUUCUGGUUCCAGAGAAGAGCUGCAAUGUACCAGGGUUGAUUUAAGAAUGCAGAGUUUUAAUUGGAAGAGUCAAGACAGAACUUUAUAGAGAAUGAACAUGAUGAAUGGAACAUUUUAUUUUAAUGUUGACUUUGAUAGAUUGUAUAAAUAAUAAAACAAAAAAGUUGUAA